AUUGAGCGCUGGCGGAAUGCUGUACACAUGCAAGUCGAACGGCAGCACGGACUUCGGUCUGGUGGCGAGUGGCGAACGGGUGAGUAACAUAUCGGAACGUAUCCAAUAAUGGGGGAUAACGAGUCGAAAGAUUCGCUAAUACCGCAUACGCCCUACGGGGGAAAGCUGGGGACCUUCGGGCCUGGCGUUAAUGGAGCGGCCGAUAUCUGAUUAGCUAGUUGGUGAGGUAAAGGCUCACCAAGGCGACGAUCAGUAGCUGGUCUGAGAGGACGACCAGCCACACUGGAACUGAGACACGGUCCAGACUCCUACGGGAGGCAGCAGUGGGGAAUUUUGGACAAUCGGCGCAAGCCUGAUCCAGCCAUUCCGCGUGAGUGAAGAAGGCCUUCGGGUUGUAAAGCUCUUUCGCAAGGGAAGAAAACUUAGCCACUAACAUUGGUUGAGGUUGACGGUACCUUGAUAAGAAGCACCGGCUAACUACGUGCCAGCCGCCGCGGUAA
Molecule: ribosomal RNA, 500 nt
Filed under: uncultured bacterium
Lineage: Bacteria
Description: partial 16S ribosomal RNA
Rfam family: Bacterial small subunit ribosomal RNA
Source: RNAcentral